UGCAAGUCGAACGGUGAAAGAGGAGCUUGCUCCUCUGGAUCAGUGGCGAACGGGUGAGUAACACGUGAGUAACCUGCCCCAGACUCUGGGAUAAGCACUGGAAACGGUGUCUAAUACCGGAUACGAGCUUCAGCCGCAUGGCUAGGAGCUGGAAAGAAUUUCGGUCUGGGAUGGACUCGCGGCCUAUCAGCUAGUUGGUGAGGUAAUGGCUCACCAAGGCGACGACGGGUAGCCGGCCUGAGAGGGUGACCGGCCACACUGGGACUGAGACACGGCCCAGACUCCUACGGGAGGCAGCAGUGGGGAAUAUUGCACAAUGGGCGCAAGCCUGAUGCAGCAACGCCGCGUGAGGGACGACGGCCUUCGGGUUGUAAACCUCUUUUAGUAGGGAAGAAGCGAAAGUGACGGUACCUGCAGAAAAAGCA
RNAcentral lists this ribosomal RNA (425 nucleotides) under actinobacterium BAL182. RNAcentral describes it as "bacterial SSU rRNA". It matches the Rfam family "Bacterial small subunit ribosomal RNA", at positions 56 to 492 of the family's 1533-position model. The record is from RNAcentral. Lineage: Bacteria; Bacillati; Actinomycetota; Actinomycetes.